AACGAACGCUGGCGGCAUGCCUAACACAUGCAAGUCGAACGAGACCUUCGGGUCUAGUGGCGCACGGGUGCGUAACGCGUGGGAACCUGCCCUUAGGUUCGGAAUAACUCCCCGAAAGGGGUGCUAAUACCGGAUAAUGUCUUCGGACCAAAGAUUUAUCGCCUUUGGAUGGGCCCGCGUUGGAUUAGCUAGUUGGUAGGGUAAAAGCCUACCAAGGCGACGAUCCAUAGCUGGUCUGAGAGGAUGAUCAGCCACACUGGGACUGAGACACGGCCCAGACUGCAUGGGGGGGGAGGGGGUGAGAAAAUGGGGACAAGGGGAGAAAGAUCGACAAGGAGGGGCCGGGUGGGGGAGUGGGCACUGGGGUUUGUAAACUUUUGUUACGGGGGAAAAAAAAGACGGGACGGAGGGAAUUAGCCCCGGACACACCGUUGCAGGCACGCGAGGAAAUACUCGGAAAGCACAGGUCCGAAC
Molecule: ribosomal RNA, 474 nt
Filed under: uncultured bacterium
Lineage: Bacteria
Description: partial 16S ribosomal RNA
Rfam family: Bacterial small subunit ribosomal RNA
Source: RNAcentral